RNAcentral lists this unclassified non-coding RNA (547 nucleotides) under Epicoccum keratinophilum. RNAcentral describes it as "sequence contains ITS1, 5.8S rRNA gene, ITS2". The stretch from base 184 to 337 matches the Rfam family "5.8S ribosomal RNA". The record is from RNAcentral. Lineage: Eukaryota; Fungi; Ascomycota; Dothideomycetes; Pleosporales; Didymellaceae.
UCGUAACAAGGUUUCCGUAGGUGAACCUGCGGAAGGAUCAUUACCUAGAGUUGUAGGCUUUGCCUGCUAUCUCUUACCCAUGUCUUUUGAGUACCUUCGUUUCCUCGGCGGGUCCGCCCGCCGAUUGGACAUAUUCAAACCCUUUGCAGUUGCAAUCAGCGUCUGAACAAACUUAAUAGUUACAACUUUCAACAACGGAUCUCUUGGUUCUGGCAUCGAUGAAGAACGCAGCGAAAUGCGAUAAGUAGUGUGAAUUGCAGAAUUCAGUGAAUCAUCGAAUCUUUGAACGCACAUUGCGCCCCUUGGUAUUCCAUGGGGCAUGCCUGUUCGAGCGUCAUUUGUACCUUCAAGCUUUGCUUGGUGUUGGGUGUUUGUCUCGCCUCUGCGCGCAGACUCGCCUCAAAACAAUUGGCAGCCGGCGUAUUGAUUUCGGAGCGCAGUACAUCUCGCGCUUUGCACUCAUAACGACGACGAUCCAAAAGUACAUUUUUACACUCUUGACCUCGGAUCAGGUAGGGAUACCCGCUGAACUUAAGCAUAUCAAUAA